GACGUAUUAAAAAAAACUACUAACUAGAUCUUGUUCAAACCAAUUUUCGGUGGAAGUUUGCAUGGUAAUGUACAUCAUAUAUUGUUUUUAGUUUUAUCAUUCUCUUAUUUUAGAAAUUACAGGUGGGGGGGGGGGACACAUUUUACCAUUUUGGAAGUGUCUCUCGCGCAAACUAUUCAGUUUAGAAAAAAAUGAUAUUAGAAACCUCAAUAUCAUUUUUGAAGACCUAUCCAUAGAUACCCCACACGUAUGGGUUUGAUGAAAAAAAUUUUUUUGAGGGAUUUAUGACGUAUCAAAAAAAAAACUACUUACUAGUUCUCGUUCAAACCAAUUUUCGGUGGAAGUUUUCAUGGUAAUGUACAUCAUAUAAUUU
Long non-coding RNA from Cydia amplana, 373 nucleotides. RefSeq lists it as uncharacterized. NCBI's taxonomy places the organism in Eukaryota, Metazoa, Arthropoda, Insecta, Lepidoptera, Tortricidae. The record is from RefSeq and is a predicted model, not a curated record. The transcript is spliced from 2 exons.